RNAcentral lists this ribosomal RNA (253 nucleotides) under uncultured bacterium. Its description in RNAcentral is "partial 16S ribosomal RNA". It matches the Rfam family "Bacterial small subunit ribosomal RNA", at positions 524 to 776 of the family's 1533-position model. The record is from RNAcentral.
UACGGAGGGUGCAAGCGUUAUUCGGAAUCACUGGGCGUAAAGGGUGCGUAGGCGGUUUGGAAAGUCAGAUGUGAAAGCCUACAGCUUAACUGUAGAACUGCAUUUGAAACUUCCAGACUAGAAUACUGAAGGGGCAGAUGGAAUUAGUGGUGUAGGGGUAAAAUCCGUAGAUAUCACUAGGAAUACCUAAAGCGAAAGCGAUCUGCUGGGAAGUUAUUGACGCUGAGGCACGAAAGCGUGGGGAGCAAACAGG